GAUGAAGACCGAAUCCAAGUAAGGUAAUACCAAUACAAAGGCAAACAAUACGUAACUUCUUCAAGUAAUCUUUAGAAUAUUGCCAAUAUCUCUGUCAACACUUAUGAGUUAAAAGAGUGACGAAAUCACAAACAUAUGAAGUAGUCGUAGUUUGCACCAUUUCAUAUGUAGCUUUCCCUCCCACUAAAAUGACGUCAGUUCACAACAAAUCCACCCCCUCGAAUCCUUGUUGUCGAGUAUAAAAUGCUUGUCUUAGUAGUGAAUUUCACAGUUUUUACCAAAGUUGCUGGAAGUUUUCAAAACCGUCUCUAAGAUUUUAGCUCUAAAACAGCCGAUCGAGCAUGAAGUGGACAUUGUUUUUCGUUUGUAUAGCUGUUGCUUUGUGCGGGGUCAAUUCAUUUUCACAGCCACAGUGUCCAGAUAUCUGUGAUCCUGAGCGAUGCCCUCCAUUAGAUCCAAACCCUUGUCCUUGUGGAACAUACAGGGGGAUGUGCGGUUGCUGUGAAUUCUGUA
Limulus polyphemus (Atlantic horseshoe crab) is the source of this 513-nucleotide long non-coding RNA. RefSeq lists it as uncharacterized. Lineage: Eukaryota; Metazoa; Arthropoda; Merostomata; Xiphosura; Limulidae. The transcript is spliced from 3 exons. The record is from RefSeq and is a predicted model, not a curated record.